CCAAUAGCGUAUAUUAAAGUUGUUGCAGUUAAAAAGCUCGUAGUUGAACUUCGGGGUCUACCCGUUGGUCAGGCUUAAUUGUCUGCACUGGUGAGAUGGAUCUCUACCUUCUGAGGAACUUUCAUGCCAUUUAUUUGGUGUGAUGGGAAAUCAGGACUGUUACUUUGAAAAAAUUAGAGUGUUUAAAGCAGACUAUCGUCUGAAUACAUUAGCAUGGAAUAAUGAAAUAGGACGGACUGAUUCUAUUUCGUUGGUUUCUAGGAUCACCGUAAUGAUUAAUAGGGAUAGUUGGGGGCAUUAGUAUUCAAUUGUCAGAGGUGAAAUUCUUGGAUUUAUUGAAGACUAACUACUGCGAAAGCAUUUGCCAAGGAUGUUUUCAUUAAUCAAGAACGAAAGUUAGGGGAUCGAAGACGAUCAGAUACCGUCGUAGUCUUAACCAUAAACUAUGCCGACUAGGGAUCGGACGAAGUUAAUUUUAUAAUGACGCGUUCGGCACCUUACG
RNAcentral lists this ribosomal RNA (502 nucleotides) under uncultured Glomeromycotina. Its description in RNAcentral is "partial small subunit ribosomal RNA". It matches the Rfam family "Eukaryotic small subunit ribosomal RNA", at positions 591 to 1092 of the family's 1831-position model. The record is from RNAcentral. Lineage: Eukaryota; Fungi; Glomeromycota.